This is a long non-coding RNA of Oryctolagus cuniculus (rabbit), 2540 nucleotides long. The record is from Ensembl. Lineage: Eukaryota; Metazoa; Chordata; Mammalia; Lagomorpha; Leporidae.
UGCGUCAGCAGGGAGAUAGAGUCGGGAGCAGAGCUGGGACAGGAGCCCAGGCACCUCGAUUUGGGACGCAGAGUCCCAGGAAGCCUCUCUCGGCUGCUGACUCCUCAACAUUCUCAUCUUAUACACGAAAAACCUGAAACCCAGAGGCCCUCCGUCGGUUCUCCCGGCUCUUUUUGAUUGCCCAUCCAUUAAGUGGUAGAACUGGACGUUCACUGGAACCCAGAGCUCCUCCCGAGGCCCUCAGGAAGGUGUGGAGGACAGCAGGGAAGAAGCCAAAGACACAAAACUCACGUCCUCGGGCUGGCCACGAGCAAGAGACUGCCUGGCACCACACCCUGCCCUGCCGAGUGGCCAGAGUCAGGUCCAGCCCUGGAGGCCUCACCCGUGGGCAUGUCCCAGCCCCUGCUGGGGGGCGGAGCCUCAGUGCCUGUGACGCAACCACACAGCCACCUCCAGCAGCGUCCAAGUCCCAAAGGCAUCCACCAGGGAGGAGGAGCCACAGGGAAGGUGUCACCUGCCUGGGCGAGAACCUGCCCUACCAUGCGCUUUGUGCACCUGCUCCCGAAACAGAAGGAAGGAAGCCUGGCAGGAGUGGGCCUGCUGACGAGCCCCCCUUUCACCUGGGAGGAAAAGCAGGGGUGUGACCUGAGGACCUCACCUGGCCCCCAGGUCUGUAGUAGCAGAGGCGAGAGCUGCACGCAGGGUCCCACUGCAGAUCCUGGGCACCCAUCAGUUUGCUGCUACUGCGUGUUCUGGAUGGUCCCGUGGUCCCUGAGUGAUGCCACAGUCCCUGGCUGUCCCCCCUCACCCUCGACGGGCUAGAAGCUCGCUACCCUCAGGGAUAGCACUGGAGGCGGGUGCUGUGUGCCCCUCACCCCCCAGGUCUGGAAGGAGCCUUGUGAACCAAGCAUGGGAGACGGGGAGCAAGAGCGAGACACAGAGACGCCUCGCUGAGUCUGCGUGUGGGCGGCAAAGCCCGGAGCACAGCGGCUCAGCAAAAAACCCCACAAAAAUAAAAAGGACGAAAAUACACUUCUGUGGGGUGGGACUCUCUGAGCGUCUCUUUGAUGAUGAGAAAGGUCAGGGUCAGAUACAGCCAAUGACAGAGCUGGGAUGGAACCUGGCCGACAGGGAGUUUGUCAGAAUGCAGAGCCCGUGCUCCUGCUGGGCCUGCCGGGCGGCGCAGCCCAGAUGCCCAGGCCGGAGCUCCAUGGGCGUCUUCCGGAUGACUGAGUGGGCGCGGGGAGCGGAACCGGGGCCCGGCUCGCAGCACCCUCACAGACCUGCCCGUGGCGUUUCUGCCUGCCUGGGAAGCAGGAAGGAGGAAUUAUUCUCAGCAGAGUCUGGGCCAGGCCGGAAGGAGAGAGCCAGACAUCUCCAGGUAGAGCGGCUUCCUGCUGUUCCCGGGCAAAUCAAAGCGCAGCGCCGCUCCACCCCGCAGCCCCCUGCGGCGCCUGACCCAGCCCUUUCAAGUGCAGCGGCCACGGGCCGGCAAAGCACACAACCGGAACCCGCCGCGCAAGGCAAAGGCUUGGAAUGAAACCGUCUCGCGAUGACAAUGCUUGUUCUUCUUUAAACUCGGCUCGAGAACAAAUGGCUUUUUUUUUUCUCUCCAGUGGAAAGACUGGACUGUGGCUUUCAUCCGUAGAGGCCUUGAUUUGGGGGGACCUCUCUUCUCACCCCCGGGGUGGGGAGAAACGGAGGUCUGCAGUCUGCCCCAGCUGGAAGGCCCAGGGCCUGGGCCUGGGGCUGCUCGGGCUCAGGGCCUGGGGGAGGGUUCGCUUUUAUCCUGCAGCACAGAAUAGGCAGUGCGCUGGGGUAAGCAUGCCAUCCUGGAGGGAACCUCCCUGCUCCCGCCCCUCAACCUGCUCUCCUGGAGGGCCCCUUGGGUCGGAGGGCGGGGAGCAGGCUCAGCGGAAGGCGGCAUGAGAGGCAGCCGAGGCCUGGGAUGACUCAGGAUAACGCCCGAGGGCUCGGGGUCAGAAGCUGCUGACCGCUGGGCUGUGAAGAAGCCGUCACACCUGGCCGAGGUGGCGCAGUAGACUUGAAACAGGGGAAGGUGGACAGGCCAGGUGGGCACUGCCUCGCUUCCCUCUGUCCAGCCCUGAGCCCACCCCCAGUCCACUCCCCAGGGAACCUUCUGCCGUGAAAGUCACCCCAGCUGGGGGAGCAGGAAGACCCCGGGGUGGGGGGACGGGAGGUUCCCCGGGGGGAGCCCUGCAGACGGCCCAGCCCAGCCAUUCCUCUGAGGGUCUGGUCUCUGGGCUGCAGCGCCUCCGGCCUCCAGCUGUGGGCUCUGUGCAGAGCGGACCCCCUCCCCCUGCCUGUGUCCUGGCUGUCCGGAGGGCAGGGGCCCCAGCACACUGGGCCUCGGCCCCCCAGGCUGGAACAGCCCAGCCCAGCUCCCAAGCCGCGUGCCCUGGCCACCCCCUAGACUGGUCCCCUGUGGGGAGAGAGGUUCUCCCAGCUGGGCCAUCAGCCAUUCUGUUCAAGUGCAGAGACGAAGGAGGCAGGGAGGGGUCAGGGAGGGAGAGCUGGAC